GAAAUGCGAUAAGUAAUGUGAAUUGCAGAAUUCAGUGAAUCAUCUAAUCUUUGAACGCACCUUGCGCUCCUUGGUAUUCCGAGGAGCAUGCCUGUUUGAGUGUCAUGGAAUUCUCAACUCUAUUUGCUUUUGUGAAUAGAGCUUGGAUUUGGAGGUUUAUUGCUGGUACUUGUGAUCGGCUCCUCUUGAAUGCAUUAGCUCGAACCUUUGCGGAUCAGCUAUCGGUGUGAUAAUUGUCUACGCCGUUGCAGUGAAGCAUAUCAAUGGGCUCGGCUUCCAAUCGUCCUUUACUGGACAAUGACUUUGACCUUUGACCUCAAAUCAGGUAGGAUUACCCGCUGAACUUAAGC
RNAcentral lists this unclassified non-coding RNA (350 nucleotides) under plant metagenome. RNAcentral's name for it is "partial contains 5.8S ribosomal RNA, internal transcribed spacer 2, and large subunit ribosomal RNA". The stretch from base 1 to 105 matches the Rfam family "5.8S ribosomal RNA", at positions 50 to 154 of the family's 154-position model. The record is from RNAcentral.